Molecule: ribosomal RNA, 460 nt
Filed under: uncultured bacterium
Lineage: Bacteria
Description: partial 16S ribosomal RNA
Rfam family: Bacterial small subunit ribosomal RNA
Source: RNAcentral
CCUACGGGUGGCUGCAGUGAGGAAUAUUGGUCAAUGGGCGCGAGCCUGAACCAGCCAAGUAGCGUGAAGGAUGACUGCCCUACGGGUUGUAAACUUCUUUUGUAAAGGAAUAAAGUGAGGCACGUGUGCCUUUUUGUAUGUACUUUAUGAAUAAGGCUCGGCUAACUCCGUGCCAGCAGCCGCGGUAAUCCGGAGGAUCCGGGCGUUUGCCGGAUUUAUUGGGUUUAAAGGGAGCGGAGAUGGGUGGAUAAGUCAGGUGUGAAAGUUUGCGGCUCAACCGUAAAAUUGCCAUUGAUACUGGCAGCCUUGAGUACAGUUGAGGUAGGCGGAAUUCGUGGUGUAGCGGUGAAAUGCUUAGAUAUCACGAAGAACUCCGAUUGCGAAGGCAGCUUACCAAACUGCAACUGACAUUGAUGCUCGAAAGUGUGGGUAUCAAACAGGAUUAGAUACCCUUGUAGUC